This 369-nucleotide ribosomal RNA is filed under the name uncultured bacterium. Its description in RNAcentral is "partial 16S ribosomal RNA". It matches the Rfam family "Bacterial small subunit ribosomal RNA", at positions 355 to 741 of the family's 1533-position model. The record is from RNAcentral.
UGGGGAAUAUUGGACAAUGGGCGCAAGCCUGAUCCAGCCAUGCCGCGUGAGUGAUGAAGGCCUUAGGGUUGUAAAGCUCUUUCGCCGGUGAAGAUAAUGACGGUAACCGGAGAAGAAGCCCCGGCUAACUUCGUGCCAGCAGCCGCGGUAAUACGAAGGGGGCUAGCGUUGCUCGGAAUCACUGGGCGUAAAGCGCACGUAGGCGGAUCGUUAAGUCAGGGGUGAAAUCCUGGAGCUCAACUCCAGAACUGCCCUUGAUACUGGCGAUCUCGAGUUCGAGAGAGGUUGGUGGAACUCCGAGUGUAGAGGUGAAAUUCGUAGAUAUUCGGAAGAACACCAGUGGCGAAGGCGGCCAACUGGCUCGACACU